Molecule: ribosomal RNA, 508 nt
Filed under: uncultured bacterium
Lineage: Bacteria
Description: bacterial SSU rRNA
Rfam family: Bacterial small subunit ribosomal RNA
Source: RNAcentral
AGAGUUUGAUCCUGGCUCAGGAUAAACGCUGGCGGCGCACAUAAGACAUGCAAGUCGAACGGACUUAACCAUUAGUUUACUAUUGGAGCGGUUAGUGGCGGACUGGUGAGUAACACGUAAGCAACCUGCCUAUCAGAGGGGAACAACAGUUAGAAAUGACUGCUAAUACCGCAUAUGCCAUGAAUAUCACAUGAUAUAAAUGGGAAAGGAGCAAUCCGCUGAUAGAUGGGCUUGCGUCUGAUUAGAUAGUUGGUGGGGUAACGGCCUACCAAGUCGACGAUCAGUAGCCGGACUGAGAGGUUGAACGGCCACAUUGGGACUGAGAUACGGCCCAGACUCCUACGGGAGGCAGCAGUCGGGAAUAUUGCGCAAUGGAGGAAACUCUGACGCAGUGACGCCGCGUGCAGGAAGAAGGUUUUCGGAUUGUAAACUGCUUUAGACAGGGAAGAUAAUGACAGUACCUGUAGAAUAAGCUCCGGCUAACUACGUGCCAGCAGCCGCGGUAAUA